CCCGACUGCUAUUUGGGUGAGGAUAAGCCAUGCGAGUCGAAUGGGAUACCUAAAUUUCCCAUGGCGAACUGCUCAAUAACACAUGAUCAACUUACCCUAUAGAGAAAAAUAACCUCGGGAAACUGAGGAUAAUGUUUCAUAGUUGAAAAGGCUUGGAAAAGUUUUUCGACCAAAGGGAUAAGAAAAAUGGUUUUUAUCCGCUAUAGGAUAGGAUCGUGGUCGAUUAUGGUCGUUGGUGAGGUAAUGGCUCACCAAGCCGAUAAUCGAUAGGGGCCGUGAGAGCGGGAGCCCCGAGAUGGGUACUGAGACAGCGACCCAGGCCUUACGAGGCGCAGCAGGCGCGGAACCUCCGCAAUACACGAAAGUGUGACGGGGUUACCCAAAGUGUUCAAUUUUGAACUGUGGUAGGUGAGUAAUGUUCCCUACUAGAAAGGAGAGAGCAAGGCUGGUGCCAGCCGCCGCGGUAAAACCAGCUCUUCAAGUGGUCGGGAUAAUUAUUGGGCUUAAAGUGUCCGUAGCCGGUUUAGUAAGUUCCUGGUAAAAUCGGGUAGCUUAACUAUCUGCAUGCUAGGAAUACUGCUAUACUAGAGGACGGGAGAGGUCUGAGGUACUACAGGGGUAGGGGUGAAAUCUUAUAAUCCUUGUAGGACCACCAGUGGCGAAGGCGUCAGACUGGAACGUGCCUGACGGUGAGGGACGAAAGCCAGGGGAGCGAACCGGAUUAGAUACCCGGGUAGUCCUGGCCGUAAACGAUGCAUACUAGGUGAUGGCAUGGCCAUGAGCCAUGUCAGUGCCGCAGGGAAGCCGUUAAGCGAGCCACCUGGGAAGUACGGUCGCAAGGCUGAAAC
RNAcentral lists this ribosomal RNA (848 nucleotides) under uncultured archaeon. Its description in RNAcentral is "bacterial SSU rRNA". It matches the Rfam family "Archaeal small subunit ribosomal RNA", at positions 21 to 855 of the family's 1478-position model. The record is from RNAcentral.